This is a non-coding RNA of Serendipita sp. 399, 86 nucleotides long. NCBI's taxonomy places the organism in Eukaryota, Fungi, Basidiomycota, Agaricomycetes, Sebacinales, Serendipitaceae. The record is from the annotation of a GenBank genome assembly.
GGGGCUGUAGCUUAAUGGUAAAGUGCGCUAUUUUUCAUUGAAAACUUGACCCAGCGCGAUUUGAGGUUCGACUCCCAACGGUCCCA